UGGGUUGUGGCUCAGUGGAGGAGUGCUUGCCUAGUAUGUGUGAGGUACUGAGUUCGAUUCUCAGCACCGUAU
This 72-nucleotide transfer RNA is filed under the name Marmota marmota marmota (Alpine marmot). It matches the Rfam family "tRNA". Rfam says of the family: Transfer RNA (tRNA) molecules are approximately 80 nucleotides in length. Their secondary structure includes four short double-helical elements and three loops (D, anti-codon, and T loops). RNAcentral also lists the same sequence under 1 other name. The record is from Rfam by way of RNAcentral. Lineage: Eukaryota; Metazoa; Chordata; Mammalia; Rodentia; Sciuridae.